RNAcentral lists this ribosomal RNA (717 nucleotides) under uncultured Streptococcus sp. Its description in RNAcentral is "bacterial SSU rRNA". It matches the Rfam family "Bacterial small subunit ribosomal RNA", at positions 28 to 732 of the family's 1533-position model. Lineage: Bacteria; Bacillati; Bacillota; Bacilli; Lactobacillales; Streptococcaceae. The record is from RNAcentral.
GACGAACGCUGGCGGCGUGCCUAAUACAUGCAAGUAGAACGCUGAAGGAGGAGCUUGCUUCUCCGGAUGAGUUGCGAACGGGUGAGUAACGCGUAGGUAACCUGCCUGGUAGCGGGGGAUAACUAUUGGAAACGAUAGCUAAUACCGCAUAAUAGUAGAUGUUGCAUGACAUUUGCUUAAAAGGUGCAAUUGCAUCACUACCAGAUGGACCUGCGUUGUAUUAGCUAGUUGGUGGGGUAACGGCUCACCAAGGCGACGAUACAUAGCCGACCUGAGAGGGUGAUCGGCCACACUGGGACUGAGACACGGCCCAGACUCCUACGGGAGGCAGCAGUAGGGAAUCUUCGGCAAUGGACGGAAGUCUGACCGAGCAACGCCGCGUGAGUGAAGAAGGUUUUCGGAUCGUAAAGCUCUGUUGUAAGAGAAGAACGAGUGUGAGAGUGGAAAGUUCACACUGUGACGGUAUCUUACCAGAAAGGGACGGCUAACUACGUGCCAGCAGCCGCGGUAAUACGUAGGUCCCGAGCGUUGUCCGGAUUUAUUGGGCGUAAAGCGAGCGCAGGCGGUUAGAUAAAGUCUGAAGUUAAAGGCUGUGGCUUAACCAUAGUACGCUUUGGAAACUGUUUAACUUGAGUGCAAGAGGGGGACAGUGGAAUUCCAUGUGUAACGGUGAAAUGCGUAGAUAUAUGGAGGAAACCGGUGGCAAAAACAUCCUCU